This 459-nucleotide ribosomal RNA is filed under the name Streptococcus mitis. Its description in RNAcentral is "bacterial SSU rRNA". It matches the Rfam family "Bacterial small subunit ribosomal RNA", at positions 28 to 471 of the family's 1533-position model. Lineage: Bacteria; Bacillati; Bacillota; Bacilli; Lactobacillales; Streptococcaceae. The record is from RNAcentral.
GACGAACGCUGGCGGCGUGCCUAAUACAUGCAAGUAGAACGCUGAAGGAGGAGCUUGCUUCUCUGGAUGAGUUGCGAACGGGUGAGUAACGCGUAGGUAACCUGCCUGGUAGCGGGGGAUAACUAUUGGAAACGAUAGCUAAUACCGCAUAAGAGUAGAUGUUGCAUGACAUUUGCUUAAAAGGUGCAAUUGCAUCACUACCAGAUGGACCUGCGUUGUAUUAGCUAGUUGGUGAGGUAACGGCUCACCAAGGCAACGAUACAUAGCCGACCUGAGAGGGUGAUCGGCCACACUGGGACUGAGACACGGCCCAGACUCCUACGGGAGGCAGCAGUAGGGAAUCUUCGGCAAUGGACGGAAGUCUGACUGAGCAACGCCGCGUGAGUGAAGAAGGUUUUCGGAUCGUAAAGCUCUGUUGUAAGAGAAGAACGAGUGUGAGAGUGGAAAGUUCACACUGUG